UACGUAGGGGGCAAGCGUUGUCCGGAAUCAUUGGGCGUAAAGAGCGUGUAGGCGGCCAGAUAAGUCCGCUGUGAAAACUCGAGGCUCAACUUCGAGCUGUCGGCGGAAACUAUCUGGCUAGAGUCCGGAAGAGGAGAGUGGAAUUCCUGGUGUAGCGGUGAAAUGCGUAGAGAUCGGGAGGAACACCGAUGGCGAAGGCAGCUCGCUGGGACGGUACUGACGCUGAGGCGCGAAAGCGUGGGGAGCGAACAGG
RNAcentral lists this ribosomal RNA (253 nucleotides) under uncultured bacterium. RNAcentral's name for it is "partial 16S ribosomal RNA". It matches the Rfam family "Bacterial small subunit ribosomal RNA", at positions 524 to 776 of the family's 1533-position model. The record is from RNAcentral.